Molecule: long non-coding RNA, 1095 nt
Filed under: Homo sapiens (human)
Lineage: Eukaryota; Metazoa; Chordata; Mammalia; Primates; Hominidae
Description: long intergenic non-protein coding RNA 1823
Source: RNAcentral
ACACUCAGGGUGAGAGGGAGAUUCUGAAGCUUUGUGUUUCUUGCUAGCUAGUCAAAGGUGACUAAUUCAUGUGGAUAGAAAAAUAAUACAUGCCAAAAGAAAUUUGAGGAACAAAUUCAGCCCUGAGACAGGUCACGGAAACAGCCCUCCAGUCUUCCUCAAGAAAUGUAGACUGAAUCAGCAUUUACCCACCCCUGGAAAAACGCAGGAGCUGCGCAUUCCUGGGAUCUCAGCAGGGCUUUUGGGAAGAGCAGAACUGGGCUGGAGUCACGGUUUCUGGGCUGACUCUAGAUUUUCCCCGGCUUUUGCCACCUGUGAUGGCUGGAGAGUAUCUGAAGAUGACAGCCAGUGUCCUUAGCUUGUGAAGAUUGGAUGAUGGCCGGGGCCCUCAGACCCCUUGGCCCCUCCUUAACUGCAGGUCUUCAAAAGCCCAACACCUGUUCGUCAUUUCUGUGGCUUCCCAGGGAGUCUUACUCUUCUGCUUCAAGCUGCUGGGUUUGACUCUGAGCAGUUUCUGUGCAGCCACAAAGAUUCUUAUGUGAGACACACUGCUGCUUCAGAGUGCUCCAACCCAUCUCCCCUGAUUAAACACUAACCAGGGCUGCCACAGCAAAGUGGCUCAAAUGGGUGACGUCAACAACAGAUUUACUUUCUCAUAGUUCUGGAGGCAGGUGUCUAGGAUCAAGGUGGUGGCAAGGCUAUUCCUUCUGUUGCCUCCCUCCUUGCCUUGUGGAUGACCGUCUUCUCCGCGUCUUUCCAAGAUCUCUCCUCUGUGCAUGUCAGUGUCCUUGCUUCCUCUUCUUAUGAAGACACCGGUCAUGUUGGAGCUCAUGGUUGCAAUGUGCCCGCUUAUCGGAGUCUUCCUGGCCUUGAAUGUCCUCUUCUCAGCAUCCAGGAAUGUCCAGACAUUCAUCCAACAACCAGUCUGGGCUAAUGAGUCAGGCAUGGUGCCUGGUGUGUAGUUAGCACUCAACACAUAGACCUUAAUUGAGUUAACAAAUAGGAGAUGAUGAUGGGAGCUAUUGCUAGGUAACAUGCACAUAUUUAUCAUGCAUUUGCUUAUUCAUCAAUUUAAAGGAAAGUUUGUUUUCUUUC